UGAGGAUAUUAAACGUCAUGA
Molecule: non-coding RNA, 21 nt
Filed under: Arabidopsis thaliana (thale cress)
Lineage: Eukaryota; Viridiplantae; Streptophyta; Magnoliopsida; Brassicales; Brassicaceae
Source: RNAcentral